GCUGGCGUAGCUCAAUUGGCAGAGCAGCUGAUUUGUAAUCAGCAGGUUGGGGGUUCGAUUCCCUUCGCCAGCUCCA
RNAcentral lists this transfer RNA (76 nucleotides) under Gammaproteobacteria bacterium. RNAcentral describes it as "tRNA-Thr". It matches the Rfam family "tRNA". From Rfam's summary of the family: Transfer RNA (tRNA) molecules are approximately 80 nucleotides in length. Their secondary structure includes four short double-helical elements and three loops (D, anti-codon, and T loops). Lineage: Bacteria; Pseudomonadati; Pseudomonadota; Gammaproteobacteria. RNAcentral also lists the same sequence under 1 other name. The record is from RNAcentral.